GCUGUGUAACAAACCACUCUAAAAAUUGAGUGACUUAAACCACAAACCCAUUUUAUUGCUCCAAUCCUGUGCUCCAGGACUUCGAGCAGGCUCAGCAGUACGGUCUUAGGACUGUUCCAUGCUAUCCAGGCUAGCUGGACUGGGGCCCUCACACACUUUGGGCCUUGAGGCUGGGCCUUAUCUGCCCGGCAGGAUAACCUGGACGUUAUAUAGCUGUCAGUGUGGCAAGAGAACCCAAAGCCUCAGCCCAGAACUGGAAUAGUGCCCCUACUGUCUCCUCCUAUCCGUCAAAGGCAAUCCCAGGGCCAGCUUCCUUUCAAGGGGAUGGGGAUGUACUUCACCUUUUGAUGAGAGGAGCUUGUGCAAACAGGGACAGCCCGUGUAUGGCCGUCUUUGCAGACAGCACGACACAUGGUGACUUGUUAGUGGCGGAUAUCCAAGUGUUAGGCCAAUAUUAUGGAAAAUCUCACUGAGGCAGCUUUUCUGGAAGGGAAAAGACCCCCUUUAGAAACUGCAUUCAAUUUUGGCUCUUUCAGCCCUUACAGGUAAAUGUGGAAGGUAUUUUAGACGGAAUGGGGUGGUGUCAUUCAUCUAAUCCUGGGGGUGCCAAUGUUCUUGUGAGCUGUGUAACCAGCUGGGUCCAGUACCUGCAUCAUUCACGGGGGCAAGGGUGUGACACUUCCCUUGAUCUAAGCAGUCUGCACAUGCUCUCUGCCAAGGGAGAACCCCAGGCAAAAGAAAGGGGACAGGGGACAUUGACCCCACCAAGGACACAGACGUGUGCCCAAGGAUGUUGCAGAAGCUGCCAACGUGAGUGGGGAAGAGAAGACUAUCUCCAUCAGUCCAAAAUGAUCAACCCAAUGUGCCUCUAACAAAAACAGAUGAUUGGCCUCGCCAAGAUUUUUGCGAGAAAAUAAAGGAAUUUCAUACCUUAACUGCAGGGCACUUAGAAUCGUUUUAUAAAGCUCUUCCACUCACUUGAGCAAGAAGCAAACAUAAAAUCAAGGUGAAAUGUAGGAAUGUGUACUUGGGAAGGAAAAUAAAAUGGAUUAUGACCAGAUGAACAAAAACGAGAGAGAAAGGUAGCUGGACAAGGAGCCUUUAGGGUCCUGCAGCUCCAGAUUCAGUCCUGAGACCGGCAGCCUCAGCAUCACUAGGGAGCUCGUUAGAAAUGCAGGCUUUCAGGCCCCGCCCCAGACCUACUGACUCGAAUCCCAGGUGAUUUCAACGCCUAUAAAGUUUGUCUGGCUGGAGUCCGCAGCCCUGGCUGAGCAAUGGAAUCACCUGGGGAGCUUUGCAAACUGUUCGGGUCCCACACCUGUGGUUCUGAUGUCAUUGGUCUGGGUGCGGUCUAGGCUUCAAGUUUUUGUUUUUGUUUUUUAAGCUCCUCUGGUGAUUCUAAUGGGCUGCAACCUUUGAGAACCACUGGCAGGAGGAAAGGGAGAGGUGAAAGCUGUGGCGGGUGGAGGCCACUAGCGACUGGCCAUUCCCUCCCAAGGCAGAGCCACGUAGUGGGGUGUGACCAGGAUCAAGGAGGCCCGCGGACAUGUAUGGAGUCCUUCCCGCCGGUGCGCGCGGUUGGACACCGACUGCGCAGGCACGCGGGUUCACAGCUGGAGAGGAAUUCUGCCUCUGAGUAAAUAGUAUCUUGAGCCUCACCCAUAUUGAUCUGAUGGUCCUGAGAUGAGACUUUGGUUUUAGAGUUGAUGCUGGAAUGAGGUGAGGGCACAGCGAGAAGGCAGCCAUCUGCAAGCCAGGGUUUUGCCAGACACUGAGCCUGAUGGUCCUUUGAUCUUGGGCUUCUAGCCUCCAGAACUGUAAGAAAAUAAAUCUGUAUUGUUUAAGUCAACCAGUCCAUGGUGUUUUGUAUUGUUUAAGUGACCCAGUCUGUGGUGUCCUCUGAGCUCACUUAAGAUGAUUCUCAAAGGCCUGCUUUGAAUACUGAAACCCGUUACACUU
Manis pentadactyla (Chinese pangolin) is the source of this 1959-nucleotide long non-coding RNA. RefSeq lists it as uncharacterized. The transcript is spliced from 3 exons. The record is from RefSeq and is a predicted model, not a curated record. Lineage: Eukaryota; Metazoa; Chordata; Mammalia; Pholidota; Manidae.